GUGGGGAAUUUUGCGCAAUGGGCGCAAGCCUGACGCAGCGACGCCGCGUGCGGGAGGAAGGCCCUCGGGCCGUAAACCGCUUUCGGCAGGGAAGAAGUCUGACUGUACCUGCAGAAGAAGCCCCGGCUAACUACGUGCCAGCAGCCGCGGUAACACGUAGGGGGCGAGCGUUGUCCGGAUUCAUUGGGCGUAAAGGGCGCGCAGGCGGCCCGGCAAGCGGUGCCUCUAAGCCCGGGGCUCAACCCCGGGACGGGCGCCGAACUUCCGGGCUCGAGCGCGGUAGAGGAGGACGGAAUUCCCGGUGUAGCGGUGGAAUGCGCAGAUAUCGGGAGGAACACCGAUGGCGAAGGCAGUCCUCUGGGCCGUCGCUGACGCUGAGGCGCGAAAGCCGGGGGAGCGAACAGGAUUAGAAACCCGGGUAGUCC
This 425-nucleotide ribosomal RNA is filed under the name uncultured bacterium. Its description in RNAcentral is "bacterial SSU rRNA". It matches the Rfam family "Bacterial small subunit ribosomal RNA", at positions 354 to 796 of the family's 1533-position model. The record is from RNAcentral.